CGCAAAGCUGCGAAGGAGAGAGUAGGGAGCGCCCCGAAGCACAGAGAGCUACGUAAGGUGCGAGGUAGCCUUCGCGAGCUCCCGAAAGACGCUCUGGAGCUGCGCGACCGAAAGGCACCAAGUAGGUUGCGCCGGACGCUUCCGUUAUCGAGCUUGGGUCACAUUGAUCCGUAGAGUCGCUGGCUGCUGGGCCAGCGAGAAUAAAGGUGGCACCACGGGAAGCCCCCGUCCUUUAG
RNAcentral lists this non-coding RNA (236 nucleotides) under Anaerolineae bacterium. Its description in RNAcentral is "T-box sequence". It matches the Rfam family "T-box leader". Rfam says of the family: Uncharged tRNA acts as the effector for transcription antitermination of genes in the T-box leader family. Lineage: Bacteria; Bacillati; Chloroflexota; Anaerolineae. The record is from RNAcentral.